This 7961-nucleotide long non-coding RNA is filed under the name Homo sapiens (human). RNAcentral's name for it is "non-protein coding LINC00926:3". The record is from RNAcentral. Lineage: Eukaryota; Metazoa; Chordata; Mammalia; Primates; Hominidae.
AAAAGCAGCGAUUACCACCAACCACGAGAAACACAGGAGCCUGCCUUCCACUGUUUACCACUGGGCAGGAAGUCGUUUAUGGACCAGUCUCUUGCCCAGGCUAAACUCAGAAGUGGACACUGAGGGCCGGUUGUGGGUGCCACCAGGCAAGCUAGGGCAUCGGAGUUCAGCAGAGCUGGGUGGGAAUUCUGCUUCUCCCUCCACUACCUGGGUAACCCUGGGCAAGUCACUUAGCCUCUCCGAGCAUAAACUGGUUUGCUUGUAAUAUGCAAAUAAUAAGGGGUGGGGGAAAUUUUUUUUUUUUUUUUUGAGACAGAGUCUCGCUCUGUCACCCAGGCUGGAGUGCAGUGGCGUGAUCUCGGCUCAUUGCAACCUCCGCCUCCUGGGUUCAAGCAAUUCUCCUGCCUCAGCCUCCUGAGUAGCUGGGAUUACAGGCGCCCGCCACCACUCCCAGCUAAUUUUUGUAUUUUUAGUAGGGACGAGGUUUCACCAUGUUGGUCAGGCUGGUCUCAAACUCCUGACCUCGUGAUCUGCCCUCCUUGGCCUUCCAAAGUGCUGGGAUUACAGGCGUGAUGGAGAUGAUACUCCCUAAAUCACAAGGGUGUGGUGUGAAGAUGAAAUGGCUGCACGUGACAGAGGAGUUGGAGAACAGGAAGCAAGUGGAUUACUUGGAUGAACUGUGAUGGGCCCAAGAAGAACUAAGCCAAUCACUCCAGGGGGCGUUUUCCCAGGAUCCAGGCAGAGAGCUGAUUCCAGCAUCCACGUUGUAUCCCCCUCCCGCUGUGGCCGGGGUCUCCAAGAGCCGGGCACCCACUGCAGAGCUUCCAAGCCCAGGCCCAUUUGAACACAGGAGGACUUUUGAGGUUCAUUUAACCCCAAAAUCAGUGAUUCUACAUCUCAAGCUCAUAUUUUGAAGUGUUUACGGGUAAGUCAUAUGAUACUGGUCAUUUAUUUUUUAAAUAUUCUAGCCAAAAGUACAUGGUAGACAAAGUGAGAAUGUCAGAAUGUUGAUAAUUAGUGAAACUAGACGAAGAUACAUGAAAGUUUAAUUUUGAUUCUCACCUACUUUCAUGUGCAUUAGGAAACUUUCAUAAUAAGUUAAAGUAACAAAAUAGGCCAGACUCGGCUGCUCAUGCCUGCAAUCCCAGCACUUUGGGCGGCUAAGGCAGGCGGAUUACUUGAGGUCACGAGUUUGAAACCAGCCUGGCCAACGUGGUGAAACCCCAUCUCCCCUAGAAAAUAAAACAAAAAAAAAAAUUGUAGCUGGGCAUGGUGGCAGGCCCCUGUAAUCCCACCUACUCAGGAGGGUGAGGGAGGAGAAUCGCUUGAGCCUCAGAGGCAGAGGUUGCAGUGAGCCAAGAUUGCGCCAUUGCACUCCAGCCUGGGUGAGAGAGCGAGACUCCAUCUCUGAAUAAAUAAAGUAACAAAAUACAUUUCAGUCUCGAGCUCCAGUUCCCUGCCAGGAAGAGCUGAAGCUGAGCUCUGGCACCCCCUGCUUCUUCUCCCUCAUCCCUAAAACAUGUGGGGUACUGGGUGCCAAAGGAGAUCUGAAGAUGGCCACCACUCAGACCAGCAGUAGAGGCCAAGAAGGUGGUGAGAAAUUUUAAGGUAUUGUAGCAUAUGCUCUCCAGGGUGAGGACACAGGAUGCUGGGACCUAAGGAGGGAGAAGUUAACCCAGAGAGGGCCCAAGUCAGGGAGGACCUGACUGUGGUGACAGAGCCAGUCAUGCUAAUAAUAGGAGCAGUGGUUUUGCAAUCACAAAUAUUGGUCUGGGGGACUGCGGGCCCAAUGUGGUGGGAGUUUUAGAGCAGGGACCCCUCCACUGUACGUGGAUUCUUAUACUUGCUAAGUUGCACUGAAUUCUCAAUCAACCCAUUUGGAGGCUCUCACCAAGACAGGAGUCCCUUUGAAUUGGUAGGAUGUUAAAAGCUUCCUCCAGCCAUUGACCCUGGGUCCCAUUGGUAGAAAUCAGAUAAUAAAUCAGAUUUUCCAGGUAAUCCUCAGUUUAAUGUCCAUUCCCUCAUUCAAUCAAUUAUUCAAUUACAAAUCAUUUUUAAUAUGAUUUUAUGGUUCAGGAAUUCAGGCAGGGCUCAGAUGGGCAGUUCUUCUGCCCCACAUGGCAUUGGCUGAUAACAGGCUACCCCAAGGAAAUCACAGUGUAAUGGGAGAUGGGAAAUAGGUUAACACAAAGUUACUAUACUACAAGAAAAAUCUUCAAAUCUUCAAUCUUCAUUCUUCAUGGGUGUGAGUCUUCUCUGGUGGAGAAGAGAGUUCUUUGCUAAAUUAUAUUCCUGUGUUAGCCAGCCAAGCACACACGGAGUACAGCUGUCCCUUGCUAUUCAUGGCAGAUUGAUCCCAGACACUGCCACCCCCAGCCCUGUGAACACCAAAACCCAUGGAUGCUCAAGUCCUUGAUAUAAAAUGGUAUGGUAUUUGCACAUAACCUACACACAUCUUCCCAUAUACUUUAAAUCAUCACUAGAUUACUUAUAAUACCUAAUGCAAUGUAAAUGCUAUGUAAGUAGUUGCUACGCUGUAUUGCUUAGGGAAUAAUGACAAGAAAAAAAGGCUGUACAACUUCAGUACAAAUGCUAUCAUUCAUUUUUUUAUCUGAAUAUUAUGAUCCAUGAAUACAGAGGGCUGGCUGUAAAAAGAAUGUACAGUUUGGUACUUUACUCCUAGUUUAAGUCAUCUCUUUCGGCCCAUACAGGUUGCCUGGGGCAGGGCGGUGGUGAGUGUGUUGAGUCGGCCCUAUACCCUGUUCCACAAUGCCUGGUGUCCUUGGCACGUAGCUUGCAGGGCUGCUUCCAUGGAUGGCUGCCUCAUCCCCCACCCCUCCUUCAUGGCACCCUCUUUUCUCCAACUCCUUUUCCUCUGCUGAGUCCUACCUUUUCUUGCCAGACCAGGGAUUUGCCAAUUAUUCUGGAUGGGCACAGGGAAGGGGCCCUCAGAUCCUGCAGAGGGAGCAUCUGAAAGACAAUGAGACCCUGUACACAACCAAGCUGAGCCUCCUCGUUGGUGCAUGCAUGGAUCCAGGAAGAGCAGGUAUUUGGACCCAACGAGACAGGUUCAUCUUGGCAGUUUGUCUCCUGUGGUUGCUUUGUGCCUGCCCCGUAUCUAUCCACCCAACUUCUGGCAGCAAUCCCUCCAGGACCCACCUCUGUCUUCAUGGUUUGUGUGUUCUGAUCCUGCUCCUUGGCCCCAGAAUACACCCUCCACAUCUAAGCUAUGCAGUGCCUCAUCCCCACAGCUGCAGCGAUUGGUUUAGGAAUGGGAAAAUAAUCCAAUCAAAGUAAGAUUGUCUAAUAUCUGAUCCCGCUUACCCCGGAGCCAGAAGUCCCACCUUUCCAGGCUCCUCCAUGUUCCUUUCUGGAGCAAUGAGGAGGAAGGUUCAUUCCCUUCUCAGGGAACUUGCUGCGGUGUCCCAGUCCUGACUGUCCCCUCUCUACCCCUGCCUGUGGCUCUCCCGUCUCCUGGCAUUCUAACCUGCCACUGAAUUCUUCCCACGCCAAACGCAGGUUAGGAACCUAAGCUCGGAUGAAAUGCUGGCUUAGACCUCAUUGCUACUGAGAAGCAGAAACCACACUUUUUAGUUGGUAGAGGUGGAUGUGGAUUGGGGCCAUAAAGUUUCCUCAAUCAUUGAAUAAGGAUUUCAUUAUUUGGACUAACUAAAUACAUUAGAUUAUUUAUACUAACUAAAUAAAUUAGAUUUAUUUUUCGAAGUUUAAAAUCAUUUUCAAUAGUGACGAAAAAGGCUGUAGAUGAGAUGGGAGAAUCUUUCGACGCCAAAUUCUUCCCAUCUCCUGCCUAGUAUGUAUCACUACACCUUGCCCAGAGAGACUGUAGGGGUGCUCAGCAAAAACCAUGGCUGGUUGAUUCCCUGGAAAAAGGGGUGCUGUCCCAGGGAGCUCUGUGCCCUUCCUGCCAACACUGGGGUCUAGAGGAGGCAAGUUCCCCUCUGAAGGUGAGUAUGAUUCACUCAUUAAAACUAAGAAAUUUACAUUGGUAUGUUACUGUUAACUAACCUACAGACUUUUUUUAGAUUUCACCGUUCUUUACACUCUCGUCCUUUCCAAUUUCCGGGAUCCAAUGCAGGAUACCAGGUUGCAUUUUUGGAUGUGUCCAGUCUGUGAUCAUUUCUCAAUCUUUCCUCAUUUUCUCAUGACUUUUGACAUUUAUUUAUUUAUUUAUUGUGUGAGACUGAGUCUCACUCUGUUGCCUAGGCUGGAGUGCAGUGGCCCCAUCCUGGCUCACUACAAUCUCCACCUCCCGGGUUCAAAUGAUUCUCCUGCCUCAGCCUCCCAAGCAGCUGGGAUUACAGGCGCACACCACCACGCCUGGCUAAUUUGUAUUUUUAGUAGAGAUGGGGUUUCACCAUGUUAGCCAGGCUGGUCUCAAACUCCUGACUUCAGGUGAUCUGCCUGCCUCGGCCUCCCAAAGUGCUAGGAUUACAGGCGCAGGCCACCACGCCCAGCCUGACUUCUGACAUUAGAGUACAGGGAGGGAUUCUGUAGAAUGUCCCUCAAUUUGGGUGUGUCUGGUGUUUUGCCAUGAGACUGGGGUUAUGCUUCUGGGUGCCACACAGAGGUGAAAUGUCCUUCUCAUCACAUUAUUCGAGAGGUACAUGGUACCAAUGGGACUUAUCGCUGCUGAUGUUAACCUUGAUCUCUUGGUUCAGGUGGUGCCUGCCAGCUGUCUCCACUGUGGAGUUACUAUUUUUCCUUUUCCCCAUUUUAUUCAUCAGAAGCCAGUCACUAAGCGAGGUCAAACUCCAGGACAGGGGAAUUAAGUGCCACCUUCUGGAGAGGGAGCAUUCACAUUUAUUACUUGGGAUCCUUCUGUAAGGAAGAGCUGUUUCUCCUCUAAAAAACUCUUUAAUCCUUUUAAGCCUCAAUUUCUUAAUUGUGAAAUGGGGCUAAUACCUGUAUCCAACCAAGGGAGUAGUUAGAAGGUAACAUGAUAGGUGGAAAGCACUUAACAUAGGCAAAAUGUUAUUAUCAGGAAUGAUCGAGAGACCCAUCCAACUAUCUGAAGGAGUCACUUAACUCUACUGUACUGCAGCGCUGUAAAGUCUGCAUCUUUCACUGGGGGUAAAGGCCCCCAGUCCCUGAGACGGGCCAGUUUGGAGACAGGCUGGUUUUUUCUCUGUUCUCCUGAGAGCCCUUCAGAUGAGAAGGGAGGUCUGGAGACAGAAUGCCAAAAGCCCAUUAAAGGCACGGCCUUGCAUUUCAGAGAGGGAGCAGGUCUAGAGAAGAACCAGAGGAGCUCAGCUGAGAUAUGGUGUAUGGAUUGGAUUUUGGUAGAAGAUGGGAAGAACCAAACACCUGAGAAACCACUUUGAAGAUCGGGGUCAGAGUAAGGCCUAACACAUAGUUGGCUCCCAGUAAUUAUUGGUUGAUUGAACAGCUCAAAGAGCAACUCGACCAAGAACACUGGACUGGGAGUCCAGUUACUUGGAUCUUGCAUUCCUGAUUUAUUUUUAUUUUAUAUGUAUUUUUUCUAUUUUUUUGAGACGAAGUCUCACUCACUCUGUCGCCCAGGCUGGACUACAAUGGCACGAUCUCGGCUCACUGCAAACUCUGCCUCCCAGGUUCAAGCGAUUCUCCUGCCUCAGCCUCUCGAGUAGCUAGGAUUACAGGCAUGCACCACCACGCUGGCUAAUUUUUGUAUUUUUAGUAGAGACGGGGUUUUGCCAUGUUGGCCAUGCUGGUGUCCACCUCCUGACCUCAGUUGAUCUUCCUGCCUCAGCCUUCCAAAAUGUUGGGAUUACAGGCGUGAGCCACCGUGCCUGGCCGUGAUUUAUUUUUUUUGUGUAUGUUUGUUUUUGUCAACUUGCUGUGUGACCUUAAGCAAGUUACUUAACUUCUCUGGGCUUCACUUUCCAUGGAUGAACAUUGUAAAGAGGCUGGAGAGAGAUGAGGACUAGGUACAGGCUUUAGAGGAGAGCCACCGCCCCGGACUUCUCCCUCUGUCACCCCGCUUUCCAUGACCCUCCUUGCCUGACUUUGUGACUCCUUGCCUCGCUAUCAAAACAAGUGCUGCAAUCUCAGUGCUUUCCAAGAGCCCUGCAUUGUUAGAAACUUCCCAGCACGCAGCAAAGGCUGCUGCAAUACUCGCUCUGCCUGCCUUUGCCCUGCGCUUCCUACUUACCCUCCUUUUGUUUCUCCCAAACAUCUGUCCCUGACUAUGCUCAUCUCAUGUUUGUCCUCAGCUGCUGAAAGGGCCACGUUUGUUUUCAUUACAAAUAAGACCACCGAGUGGGCUCCUGGCGUGGGGGCGGGACCAGCCGCGCGCAGUCUUCAGAGGCAGCCCCCCAGGCUGUCUCUGGAGGGUGUGUCUCUGCUUCCCUUUCCCCGUGUUUAUUUUCAGACGAAGCCAAGUGGCCCGGGGGGACCCUCCGGACUCCCAGCCUUCAGAGAGGAGGGCAGCUCGGGCUUUCGCCGCAGUGCUUCCUGCCCGUCACGUGUGUGCUCCUAGCCGGGGUCGGGGGAGCUGGUAUCUUGGCCCUUCUGGGAGGACGCGCACAGCCCGAGGAGGCAGAGCCCCAGACGGGAAUGGGCUUUUCAGAGGUGGGGUGCGGGCGAGGGGACGAUGCAUUAUUUUUAAUAUUUGAUUUAUUUUUCCAACUGGACUUCUUCCCGGGGCUCUUUCUGGGCCCAGCUGCCUUUGUGAUCCCGCGCCCCGGUCCUCGGCCUCUCACCUCCAGCGCCGGGGCGCCCCCUGCUGUCGGAAGCGGCUGUGACCGGGCAGAGGUGCUAUCUGGGACUCUGGGUUCUCAGCCCGGGGACAGCGAACCGAGGGGCAGAUGAUCCAUCAGAAAAGAGCCGGCACUGCCCAGCCCCGCGCCCCUGCCCCUGCCUUUUUCCGGGAGCGCGCCGCGCCGCACCCGCUACGGCCGCUUGACCCCAUCUUUGAGCCCGGCCCCAAGCUCUGGGACCGUCGUGCCCCUCAUCAAGGAAGAGCCAAGGACCCCAAGGAGAAGAGAAAGGAGUUCAUGAAGGCAGAAAUGCCUGGGGCCCACGAACAUCCCAGUGUGGCCCUGGACGGGACAUCAUGCUGGGCAACACAGCUAAAAUGCGGGUGAAGACCAGAUUUCUUGCACAUGGCGGUGACGGGAUGCUCCCUAGAGAGCUUCAAGUGGAUUCUUUGCUUUUUAUUUUCUCUCUUAAUAAAAAUGUAUGAUGUUUACAUUGUCAGAGAACAAACAGAACUGUGGCUUGUGUUUCAUGUCUUACGAAAUGGGUCUUGUGUACUUUUGGCUGUUCUUUCAUGUUCUUAGCAGUUAUAGAUUUGGCCCCUCUGGAAUGGAGGGGCCAUAUAUCAGGGGGUUUGGGGCAGGGGACACGGCCCUCUGUUCACCCUGCCCUCCCUGAUAGGUUGAUUUAUCUCCCUGCAAUCCCUUAUUCGCCUUCCGGGCUGGUCUCCUUCCCAGUCCGAGAUCUGCCCCCAAGGCUUUGUUUGGCACCGCCCCACCCCUGCCUUCCCCAGUAGUCUUUCUACAGAUCACCCCUUCCCAUGUGUCCUCAGCGCACCCCUGCCUUCCCCAAUAGUCUUUCUACAGAUCACCCCUUCCCAUGUGUCCUCAGCGCACCCCUGCCUUCCCCAGUAGUCUUUCUACAGAUCACCCCUUCCCAUGUGUCCUCAGCGCACCCCUGCCUUCCCCAAUAGUCUUUCUACAGAUCACCCCUUCCCAUGUGUCCUCAACGCUGGCCUUCUCAGGAGUUCUAGCACCCGUCUCCACUGCUUUAGCCUGCUAAGACUGCCAUAACAAACCACCACAGCUUGGGGGAUUCAACCACAGAAAUGUGUAUGCUCAUAAUUCUGGAGACCAGAAGUCUGAGAUCAAGGUGUCCACAGUGCUGAUUUCUUCUGAGGCCCGUCUCCUUGGUUUGUCAAGAGCCUCUUCUCCCUGUGUCUUCACAGGGUCUUCCCUCUACGCCUGUCAGUGUCCUGAUCUCCU